This is a long non-coding RNA of Nematostella vectensis (starlet sea anemone), 1041 nucleotides long. RefSeq lists it as uncharacterized. The transcript has 2 exons. The record is from RefSeq and is a predicted model, not a curated record. Lineage: Eukaryota; Metazoa; Cnidaria; Anthozoa; Actiniaria; Edwardsiidae.
AAAUAGGUGACUGAAUGUUUGAUAUCAUUUUCGGUACUCUUUUGUCACUGUUAUUUUUUCGCCCCUAUGAAAAUAGAGAUACAUGUAAUAUAACUGAAUGUGAGCACCCUUCCCUAGAUGGGACAUUUGUCUCUUGGGGCAAACUCCUCUUAAUAAAUUGGAUGAGACAUAGCACAUAAAUAUCUAAACAGGCGCAGAUAAUCAUGCUCACUAUGUAAUAGAUGUGAUAUAUCGAUGUUUCAAAGUCUCUUAAAAUCCAUUCCUAGCCUAAGGAGGGUCCUCAACUCAAAAGAAGCUAUUUGAAGGAACAAGAAUGACAUUACACCCAAGAUCAAUCGUUGGUCGCUGAAUGACAUUGCAUCCAAGAUCACAAUAGUUGACGCUGAGACACUUCUCAUCUUCAUCACACUUGAGGUUGCAAUCGCCGAGGUUCGCUACGUCAAUGGUCUUGUACGCUGAGUCUACUAAAGCCGUGUUGGGCUCAGAGUACUGAAAGCACUGUUGUGCGGCCGGGUGAAGGAAAAUUCCACAAAGGAGAAUGGUGGUGGAAGCCAGUAUAGCGAGAUACACCAUCUUGGUGUAGACCUCUCGUAAUGACUCCUUUCUAAGUGUUGCGCUCUCUAUAUUUGCAAUUGGUUUUUCAAAUUGUCUGUUAAUAAUUCAGGAGGCCCCUUUUGAUUGUUUUCGUCAAUACAAAAGCUAAUGCAGGAAUUUUAUUCUAUUCUUGAUGUAAGAAAACAAACAAUACCUCCAAAUGACACUAAAAUCUGGAGCAAAAUGGUAAAAUUUGUUAUCUUGCUACACAAGAUGAUCGUUGUUGCAGUCGUUUUAGGAUAUUUUUUGUUAUCCCUUUAUUAAGUUAGUAUCCUUCAAAAUCGUUGUAUAAGACGUUCGCGUUGCUUUGCCUCUCCUAAAGCAUCCACAUUCCUAACAGAUUAACAGAGCCGUAGUGAAAUUAACCCCGAACUUUUUAGAAAACCCCUCGGUUUUGAAAGUUGUAAUAAUGUUUGGCGAUGAUGGUAAAGUUCAUUGAUGACGAUA